Molecule: long non-coding RNA, 2106 nt
Filed under: Oryza brachyantha (malo sina)
Lineage: Eukaryota; Viridiplantae; Streptophyta; Magnoliopsida; Poales; Poaceae
Description: long non-coding RNA (OBRA_LNC002331)
Source: RNAcentral
UAGAAGAGAGCGUUGGGGUUAAACAAAAAUAAGUUAACUGCACUAGUAGCUUCUCAUAAGCAUGCACAAUAGGAUAGCUGUGUACUAAAAUUGAAUAAUUCAAAAUAAAAUGAAAACAGAAAUGAGAGAAAAAUCAUACAAACAUUGCUGCAAUUCAUGCAAUGAUCAAAUGGAUGCUUCAAGCACCUAACCUAGUAUUUUAUGAGCAUCCAACAAAUCACUUGCAACAAAUACAAACAUUGAUACAAAGUCAUUUAUAUCUUUGAGCAUCUACGAUGCACUGUCUCCAUAACUAUUUGCAGCUUAGCACUUCUGAGCUCCAGCCUCCAAAACCUCAGGUGUUCAAGUUUCUAGAGAUUAUCAUUCCUGAAAGUUGGUUCAAAAUGGUAGUUAAAUAGCAGUUCAGCUCAUCUCUAAAAUCAAAAAAGAAAAACAAUUCAUUCUAAGUAGUUGACACGUGCGCCGUCAGGUCGCAGUCUGAUCGGCAGCACCCUGCUUCUGACGUCGCCGUUGAUACGUAAUGCCGACCAUAACAUCAACAUAAUGCAGUAUUGCAGGAAAUGGUAACCAAAUCACUUUUGAGUUAAAUUAUGCCUAGUUCAUAUAUCCAUGAGGAGUAAAAUUUCUGAAGAGUAGUUUGUUCAAUAUUAACACAUAUUUCCAAACCAGCAGGCUGUGCACAUUAAGGACAGGCAACGACCACAAAUGCGUUAGCAGUAUGGAUGUAAGAGAGAUAUUUGCAAAUACUAUAAAAGUCCCAGCCAGCUGAAGAGAAUCAAAAUUUCAGGUAUAAAGUAGCAGAUGGCAGACAUUAAGUUGCCCUGUUCAAGAACCAAAAAACAGCUAGCUGCAUAAUUACAUAUCAAUUUUUACAGAAUUUAGUGUAUGUUUUUACAGAUUUUUUUUCUACAAUCCCCAUAGAGUUAUGAAGUGCAAAGAGUUUGCUGGAGCAAAAUAAUUAUUUUAACGGUUACAUCAGUAAUCAUGCCCUUGGAUAUCAUUAAAUGUUUCAGAAACUAACAGCUCAUAUAUCAUUUUAAUAAAGCACACAGCUCAUCCUUCACUCCUGCUUUUAACCAUGAGCUUUUAACUAGCAUGUGGCACACUGUCACCUGCUUCAUGUGAGUAUACUAUGUUCACUGUCUACUAAAAACUAACUUAUUUGUUCCAGUUAAAAGAAGACAUAAAACAACUAAAAGGUAAAUGCUGCAAUUGUGCGUGAGAAAGUCAUAAAAUUUCACACCUCCGCAGAACUAACUGGAAUAGAUGAAGGCUUCUAUUUGGUUGACUUUUGAGUAUAACAUAUCUUAACAGUUCAUUGUAAAUAAAUCUGCCUUGUGGUUUGGGGCCAAAAUCUUAAAACUCAAACUGAGAAAAUAUCAACAAAGGUACAUUGCCUGACCAAACAAUGAUGCAUCAAGUAAUCUAGUAUUAGAGACGCAUUAAAACUAUGCCGGAUCAUUUUUUUUAAAUCGCCAAAAUAUCAACAAAGGUACAUUGCCUGACCAAACAAUGAUGCAUCAAGUAAUCUAGUAUUAGAGACGCAUUAAAACUAUGCCGGAUCAUUUUUUUUAAAUCGCCUGAUGAACCCUUGGCACUUAUCAGACGAUUAAAUCAUGAUCAGACCAAUGAAUUGACCAUACUUGGUCCUAUGCUUUUGUAAUUCAUUACAGUACAACUAAAACAAAUGCAAAUUGUAAUACAAGAAAAUCAGAAAUCAGUCUGCCAUGCUCCACUCAUAAGAUUUCUCCGUAUUCUUUUUUGUUACAAAAGAACUUUGGUAUGGACUUAUCUGAGUUUACAAGCCAUAGCUCUGAAUUACUGAAUCUGAACGUAACCCUAGGUCGUAGCACUAACCAAAACCCUAGGAAGAACAGGAGAAGAAAGAAGAAUGGACUGACCUCAGAUCUCGAAGAGGAAGGCGCGGAGGAGGAGGAGGGCGGCACUAAGCAGGUCGCUGGGGAGGCUCGUUGCUGGCGGCGUGGGGGAGGCUCGUUGCUGGCGGCGGCGGCCUCGCGAGAGGCGGAGGCGAUGACGGUGACUCGCGCUCACGCGAGCAGGCGAGGGGAUUUUUCCCCGACGUUGAGAGGCGUGGCUUCUUUCCCC